RNAcentral lists this ribosomal RNA (661 nucleotides) under uncultured cyanobacterium. RNAcentral describes it as "bacterial SSU rRNA". It matches the Rfam family "Bacterial small subunit ribosomal RNA", at positions 57 to 757 of the family's 1533-position model. The record is from RNAcentral. Lineage: Bacteria; Bacillati; Cyanobacteriota.
GCAAGUCAUACGAGAGUUUUUAACUCAAGUGGCGGACGGGUGAGUAACACGUAAGAAUUUGCCUUUAGGAGGGGGAUAACAACUGGAAACGGUUGCUAAUACCCCAUAUGCUUUUGAGUGAAAUGGAUUUUUCCGCCUAGAGAGAAGCUUGCGCCUGAUUAGCUUGUUGGUAAGGUAACGGCUUACCAAGGCGACGAUCAGUAUCUGGUUUGAGAGGACGAUCAGACACACUGGAACUGAGACACGGUCCAGACUCCUACGGGAGGCAGCAGUGGGGAAUUUUCCGCAAUGGGCGAAAGCCUGACGGAGCAAUCUCGCGUGAGGGAUGACGGCCUAUGGGUUGUAAACCUCUUUUUUCAGGGAGGAAUAAAAUGACGUGUACCUGAAGAAUAAGCAUCGGCUAACUCCGUGCCAGCAGCCGCGGUAAGACGGAGGAUGCAAGUGUUAUCCGGAAUCACUGGGCGUAAAGCGUCUGUAGGUGGUUUAGUAAGUCAACUGUUAAAUCUUGAAGCUUAACUUCAAAAUCGCAGUCGAAACUACUAAACUAGAGUAUAGUAGGGGUAAAGGGAAUUUCCAGUGGAGCGGUGAAAUGCGUAGAGAUUGGAAAGAACACCGAUGGCGAAGGCACUUUACUGGGCUAUUACUGACACUCAGAGACGAA